GAAAGGUAGAGCUUUUGGUUUUUCAUGUUGUCAAAGAGUUGAACAAUGAUUUUUCGUGUUGUAAAAGAUUUGAACAAUGAAAAUGGAUGGCGAGUGUCUGAUCGAAUUGAUCAGGUCAUGUAGGAACAAGGUUCAAGUCUACCAAUCUGUUAGGAUGCCUCAGUUGCAUACAUCAUUGCACUUUCAAUUGACACUUAUCGUAAUGAUAAAUGGCUCGUCUUGCCGUGGCCUUCUCUUGAAUUCACAAAACUUCUGUCGCUCCAUCCCUGCAGGGGCAGAGAACCUGUCGCUGUCUCGGUUGUGCUACCAGGUCCGGCUGAAAUAAUGAAAUAAC
Molecule: long non-coding RNA, 334 nt
Filed under: Olea europaea subsp. europaea
Lineage: Eukaryota; Viridiplantae; Streptophyta; Magnoliopsida; Lamiales; Oleaceae
Source: RNAcentral